CCAGUCAUUUAUUGAGGUUAUGUCAUUCAUUACUGAUUGAUUACUGAUUUUCUCGGAUUUUCUGAAUUAUUUGGAGUUCAUAAAAUGGAUUCAAAUUAUUUAAAAAUUACUUUUACCGAACAGGAGCAGCGUGAUUUAAAUAACAAUUGUAUAAAUUCAUUUCAAUACCGAAGUAAGCCCUUUAUAAAUAGCGAUUUAUAUUUAACAACAAUAGAAGAUAUAAAACGCUUGACGACUGAUACCGAAGUGAAAACUGUGUACCAGUAUGAUCUAUCACGAAAGGACAUUGAAUACCAAUUUAAGCCUGGAGACACUAUCGGAAUUUUACCACCAAAUAAUGAGGAAGAAGUGAAUAGGCUUUUAUUAAGAACAAACAACUAAGAAAAAUCCAUCGAUUCCUAAACAUGUUCCAGAAAAUUCAACAUUAUAUUCUAUUUUUCUUAAUAAUAUUGAUAUUAGACUUCCUCCAAAAAAGGUAUUUCUCAAAAGUCUUAUUAAAUAUACUACAGAUACAAAAGAACUAGAAUUAUUGGAAAAGAUAUGUUCAUCAUCCUCUGAUUACAUGGAGUUCUUGUACAGUCAUAAAACACUUCUGUCUUUGUUUAACGCAUUUCCUUCGUGCUUUCCACCAGUUGAGAUAAUUUUACAGCACUCUAGUCCUUUGCAUCCUCGAUACUUCUCGAUAGC
This 687-nucleotide unclassified non-coding RNA is filed under the name Sitophilus oryzae (rice weevil). RNAcentral's name for it is "methionine synthase reductase, transcript variant X1". The record is from RNAcentral. Lineage: Eukaryota; Metazoa; Arthropoda; Insecta; Coleoptera; Curculionidae.